UUUGCGUCGAAGGUAUACCGGUAAGGAGUGCUGGAGCGAAUAGAAGUGAGCAUGCAGGCAUGAGUAGCGAUAAUUAAUGUGAGAAUCAUUAACGCCGUAAACCCAAGGUUUCCUACGCGAUGCUCGUCAUCGUAGGGUUAGUCGGGUCCUAAGUCGAGUCCGAAAGGGGUAGACGAUGGCAAAUUGGUUAAUAUUCCAAUACCAACAUUAGUGUGCGAUGGAAGGACGCUUAGGGCUAAGGGGGCUAGCGGAUGGAAGUGCUAGUCUAAGGUCGUAGGAGGUUAUACAGGCAAAUCCGUAUAACAAUACUCCGAGAACUGAAAGGCUUUUUGAAGUCUUCGGAUGGAUAGAAGAACCCCUGAUGCCGUCGAGCCAAGAAAAGUUUCUAAGUUUAGCUAAUGUUGCCCGUACCGUAAACCGACACAGGUGGGUGGGAUGAGUAUUCUAAGGCGCGUGGAAGAACUCUCUUUAAGGAACUCUGCAAAAUAGCACCGUAUCUUCGGUAUAAGGUGUGGUUAGCUUUGUAUUAGGAUUUACUCCGAAAGCAAGGAAACUUACAACAAAGAGUCCCUCCCGACUGUUUACCAAAAACACAGCACUCUGCUAACUCGUAAGAGGAUGUAUAGGGUGUGACGCCUGCCCGGUGCUCGAAGGUUAAUUGAUGGGGUUAGCAUUAGCGAAGCUCUUGAUCGAAGCCCGAGUAAACGGCGGCCGUAACUAUAACGGUCCUAAGGUAGCGAAAUUCCUUGUCGGUUAAAUACCGACCUGCAUGAAUGGCGUAACGAGAUGGGAGCUGUCUCAAAGAGGGAUCCAGUGAAAUUGUAGUGGAGGUGAAAAUUCCUCCUACCCGCGGCAAGACGGAAAGACCCCGUGGACCUUUACUACAGCUUGACACUGCUAUUUGGAUAAGAAUGUGCAGGAUAGGUGGGAGGCUUUGAGUAUAUGACGCCAGUUGUAUAUGAGCCAUUGUUGAGAUACCACUCUUUCUUAUUUGGGUAGCUAACCAGCUUGAGUUAUCCUCAAGUGGGACAAUGUCUGGUGGGUAGUUUGACUGGGGCGGUCGCCUCCCAAAUAAUAACGGAGGCUUACAAAGGUUGGCUCAGAACGGUUGGAAAUCGUUCGUAGAGUAUAAAGGUAUAAGCCAGCUUAACUGCAAGACAUACAAGUCAAGCAGAGACGAAAGUCGGUCUUAGUGAUCCGGUGGUUCUGUGUGGAAGGGCCAUCGCUCAAAGGAUAAAAGGUACCCCGGGGAUAACAGGCUGAUCUCCCCCAAGAGCUCACAUCGACGGGGAGGUUUGGCACCUCGAUGUCGGCUCAUCGCAUCCUGGGGCUGGAGCAGGUCCCAAGGGUAUGGCUGUUCGCCAUUUAAAGCGGUACGCGAGCUGGGUUCAGAACGUCGUGAGACAGUUCGGUCCCUAUCUGCCGUGGGCGUAAGAAGAUUGAAGAGAUUUGACCCUAGUACGAGAGGACCGGGUUGAACAAACCACUGGUGUAGCUGUUGUUCUGCCAAGAGCAUCGCAGCGUAGCUAAGUUUGGAAAGGAUAAACGCUGAAAGCAUCUAAGCGUGAAGCCAACUCUAAGAUGAAUCUUCUCUAAGCUCUCUAGAAGACUACUAGUUUGAUAGGCUGGGUGUGUAAUGGAUGAAAGUCCUUUAGCUGACCAGUACUAAUAGAGCGUUUGGCUUAUCUUU
RNAcentral lists this ribosomal RNA (1690 nucleotides) under Campylobacter coli. RNAcentral describes it as "partial 23S ribosomal RNA". It matches the Rfam family "Bacterial large subunit ribosomal RNA", at positions 1244 to 2925 of the family's 2925-position model. The record is from RNAcentral. Lineage: Bacteria; Pseudomonadati; Campylobacterota; Epsilonproteobacteria; Campylobacterales; Campylobacteraceae. RNAcentral also lists the same sequence under 1 other name.